RNAcentral lists this ribosomal RNA (376 nucleotides) under uncultured bacterium. RNAcentral's name for it is "bacterial SSU rRNA". It matches the Rfam family "Bacterial small subunit ribosomal RNA", at positions 54 to 459 of the family's 1533-position model. The record is from RNAcentral.
CAUGCAAGUCGAACGGACCUUUCGGGGUUAGUGGCGGACGGGUGAGUAACGCGUGAGAAUCUACCUUCAGGAUGGGGACAACAGCGGGAAACUGCUGCUAAUCCCCAAUAAGCCGCAAGGUGAAAGAUUUAUCGUCUGAAGAGGAGCUCGCGUCUGAUUAGCUAGUUGGUGGGGUAAAAGCCUACCAAGGCGACGAUCAGUAGCUGGUCUGAGAGGAUGAGCAGCCACACUGGGACUGAGACACGGCCCAGACUCCUACGGGAGGCAGCAGUGGGGAAUUUUCCGCAAUGGGCGCAAGCCUGACGGAGCAAUGCCGCGUGAGGGAGGAAGGCCUUUGGGUUGUAAACCUCUUUUCUCAGGGAAGAAGACAGGACGG